Molecule: long non-coding RNA, 762 nt
Filed under: Mytilus galloprovincialis (Mediterranean mussel)
Lineage: Eukaryota; Metazoa; Mollusca; Bivalvia; Mytilida; Mytilidae
Source: RNAcentral
GGAUUACCUUAGCCAUAUUUUGCACAACUUUUUGGAAUUUCGGAUCCUCAAUGCUCUUCAACUUUGUACUUGUUUGGUUUUAUAAAUAUUUUGAUAUGAGCGUCACUGAUGAGUCUUAAGUAGACAAAACGCGCAUCUGGCGUACUAAAUUAUAAUCCUGGUACCUUUGAUAACUAUUUGUCUUUUUUAUGCCCCUGUCUUAGCAGAGGGGGCAUUAAGUUUACAAGAACCCUUGUCCCUCUGUAGAUUCAAAAGCUGUUUUCCAUUUUGAACUUGUCUGCCUGAACUAAAUGUUAUGAAACUAAUAGCAAUGCUUAUUAUCACCCAAGACCAAUCAAGUUUGAAUUUUCGUGGCAUCACUUUAACCGUGCUAGAGUUAUGUCUCUUUAUAAAUGACAAAAUGCUGAAUUUUAAGUUUCCUUUCUCUAACUUAGUUACAUGUAGCCUCAACCAAAUGUUAUGAUACUUAUACACAAAGCCAAUUACCAAAAAACACUGAUCAAGUUUGAGUUUUGGUGGUGUCCCUUUACAAAUGGAAAAAUUGCUGAAUUCUCUGUUCUCUAACAUAAGUUUGAUUUUACGAAAUGUUAUACAGAAUGCUAAUUACCACAAAACACACUCAUAUUUGCGGUUUAGGGACUUCUUGAAAGAUUUUCAGUAUUCUUAAUUUCUUAUUGUACAGAAAAACUAAUUUAGGCCCAGCAAGAAAGAACAUACAAGAAAGUAGUAUAUUUAUAAAACAAAAUAAAAUCUUACGCACAG